Molecule: non-coding RNA, 101 nt
Organism: Guyanagaster necrorhizus
Lineage: Eukaryota; Fungi; Basidiomycota; Agaricomycetes; Agaricales; Physalacriaceae
Source: the annotation of a RefSeq genome assembly
AGCAGCAUGGCGCAGUGGUAGCGCGCGGGGCCCAUAUAUCGAUGUAUCGAUGCAAUGGUUGUUUAACCCCGAGGUCACUUGAUCGAAACAAGUUGCUGCUA